GAUGAACGCUAGCGGCAGGCCUAAUACAUGCAAGACGAACGGUAAGUUGAGUAGCAAUACUUAGCCAAGAGUGUCGUACGGGUGCGUAACACGUAUGCAACCUACCCUAUACAGGAGGAUAGCCUAGGGAAACCUGGAUUAACCCUUCAUAGUAUUAUUGGAUGGCAUCAUUUGAUAAUUAAAACUGAGGUGGUAUAGGAUGGGCAUGCGUCUGAUUAGUUAGUUGGCGGGGUAAUGGCCCACCAAGACGAUGAUCAGUAGGGGUUCUGAGAGAAAGAUCCCCCACACUGGCACUGAGAUACGGGCCAGACUCCUACGGGAGACAGCAGUAGGGAAUAUUGGGUCAAUGGAUGCAAGUCUGAACCAGCCAUGCCGCGUGCAGGAGAAGGCCUUCUGGGUUGUAAACUGUCUUUGCCGAGGG
Molecule: ribosomal RNA, 421 nt
Filed under: uncultured bacterium
Lineage: Bacteria
Description: bacterial SSU rRNA
Rfam family: Bacterial small subunit ribosomal RNA
Source: RNAcentral